GGCUAAACAGGGUAUCUACAAGGAGACAUGGCAGUUGUUCAACCACGAAGACAGGUCUAAGAGCUUCUUUUCCACGCCUGGCGAAGGCUUUGACAAGAUUCUGCCGAAUAAACUGAUCAUGAUCAACCCUGAGCUGAGCUCAAGAAUCAGAGCAACCACAAGAGGCCUGAGCAAUUUCCACUUCGCUAAGCAGACCUUCUAUCCUCAGGGCUACGGCAUUGUUUGCUUCAGCGGAGCUCCCUUCAGGUCCAAGUUCAAUCAGAUAUUAUCGUAUAUGACGGAAGGAGGUCUCAUUUCCAAGUGGACCGAUGAAGAAGUGACAAAAGUAGCUGGAAAGAGCUCGGCUGAUGAAAGAAAACGGGGACAUACAGCCAUCACCAUCAAACAUUUACAAG
Long non-coding RNA from Macrobrachium nipponense, 395 nucleotides. RefSeq lists it as uncharacterized. The record is from RefSeq and is a predicted model, not a curated record. Lineage: Eukaryota; Metazoa; Arthropoda; Malacostraca; Decapoda; Palaemonidae. The transcript has 3 exons.